RNAcentral lists this long non-coding RNA (746 nucleotides) under Pan troglodytes (chimpanzee). RNAcentral describes it as "lincRNA". The record is from RNAcentral. Lineage: Eukaryota; Metazoa; Chordata; Mammalia; Primates; Hominidae.
AGUCUGGGGGUAAUGGCACGGGGACCCACCAGCUUGUCUGCCGCCAUCUGGGAUGAAGUCUCGUUCUUGUCCCCCAGGCUGGAGUGCAAUGGCACGAUCUCAGCUCACUGCAACCUCUGCCUCCCGAGUUCAAGCAAUUCUCCUGUCUCAGCCUCCUGAGUAGCUGGAUUACAGAGUCUUUUCUAAGGCACCAACUACUUCCUUCAAGCAGCAGCCAGAGGUCUUUGCUCAAUGGCUGAGAAACACAGAGGAGAGACCCAGAGAGGAGGAGAAGGCCGCAUGAAGAUGGAGCAGAGACUGGAGCUAUUCAGCCAAGUCAAGGAAUGCCUGGAGCCACCAGAAGCCGGAAGAGGCAAGGAAGGAUCCUCCCUUAGAGCAUUUGGAAGAGUGUGGCCCUGCCAACACCUUGAUUUCAAACUUCUGGCCUCCAUAACUAUGAAAUAAAUUCUUGUUGUUUUAAGCCACCAAGUUUGUGGUAACUUCUUACAGCAACCCUAGGAAAUUAACACACAGAGUGUGAGUUACCUAAACAUUGUGAGCCUCAGUUACCUUAUCUGAAAAUGGGGCUAAAACUUAGACCUACCUUUUAGGGCUGCUUUAAGGAGUAAUAGAAAUUAUACAUGGGAAUUACAUGGCACCAAGUUGUUCCUUAAUAGAGGGAAACUGUUAUGAUGGCGGAAGAGCAGUAAUGAAAUACUGAAUUCAUCCAGCAGAUGGCAGAAGAUGGAUUUGCAAACAAGAGGACU